RNAcentral lists this ribosomal RNA (162 nucleotides) under Paeonia lactiflora (Chinese peony). RNAcentral's name for it is "5.8S ribosomal RNA". It matches the Rfam family "5.8S ribosomal RNA". Rfam says of the family: 5.8S ribosomal RNA (5.8S rRNA) is a component of the large subunit of the eukaryotic ribosome. It is transcribed by RNA polymerase I as part of the 45S precursor that also contains 18S and 28S rRNA. Functionally, it is thought that 5.8S rRNA may be involved in ribosome translocation. Lineage: Eukaryota; Viridiplantae; Streptophyta; Magnoliopsida; Saxifragales; Paeoniaceae. The record is from RNAcentral.
AACGACUCUCGGCAACGGAUAUCUCGGCUCUCGCAUCGAUGAAGAACGUAGCGAAAUGCGAUACUUGGUGUGAAUUGCAGAAUCCCGUGAAUCACCGAGUCUUUGAACGCAAGUUGCGCCCAAAGCCCUUAGGCUGAGGGCACGUCUGCCUGGGCGUCACGU